AGUGAACGCUGGCGGCAGGCCUAAUACAUGCAAGUCGAACGGCAGCACAGCAGAGCUUGCUCUGUGGGUGGCGAGUGGCGGACGGGUGAGGAAUACAUGGGAAUCUGCCCAGUCGUGGGGGAUAACGUAUGGAAACGUACGCUAAUACCGCAUGCGCCCUUUGGGGGAAAGCCGGGGACCUUCGGGCCUGGCGCGAUUGGAUGAGCCCAUGUUCGAUUAGCUUGUUGGCGGGGUAAAGGCCCACCAAGGCGACGAUCGAUAGCUGGUCUGAGAGGAUGAUCAGCCACACUGGGACUGAGACACGGCCCAGACUCCUACGGGAGGCAGCAGUAGGGAAUAUUGGACAAUGGGCGCAAGCCUGAUCCAGCCAUGCCGCGUGAGUGAAGAAGGCCCUCGGGUUGUAAAGCUCUUUUGUCCGGAAAGAAAAGCAUUCGGUUAAUACCCGGGUGUUCUGACGGUACCGGAAGAAUAAGCACCGGCUAACUUCGUG
Molecule: ribosomal RNA, 490 nt
Filed under: uncultured bacterium
Lineage: Bacteria
Description: partial 16S ribosomal RNA
Rfam family: Bacterial small subunit ribosomal RNA
Source: RNAcentral